RNAcentral lists this ribosomal RNA (549 nucleotides) under uncultured bacterium. RNAcentral's name for it is "bacterial SSU rRNA". It matches the Rfam family "Bacterial small subunit ribosomal RNA", at positions 355 to 896 of the family's 1533-position model. The record is from RNAcentral.
UCGAGAAUCUUUCACAAUGGGGGCAACCCUGAUGGAGCGACGCCGCGUGGAGGAUAAGGUCUUCGGAUUGUAAACUCCUGUCAUGUGUGAACAAGGUUGUCGUGUUAAUAGCAUGGCAAAUUGAUGGUAACACAAGAGGAAGAGACGGCUAACUCUGUGCCAGCAGCCGCGGUAAUACAGAGGUCUCAAGCGUUGUUCGGAAUCACUGGGCGUAAAGGGUGCGUAGGUGGCGUGGAAAGUCAGAUGUGAAAGCCCGGGGCUCAACCUCGGAAUUGCAUCCGAUACUACCAUGCUAGAGUACUGAAGAGGUGACUAGAAUUCUCGGUGUAGCAGUGAAAUGCGUAGAUAUCGAGAGGAAUACCAACGGCGAAGGCAGGUCACUGGGCAGUUACUGACACUGAGGCACGAAGGCCAGGGGAGCAAACGGGAUUAGAUACCCCGGUAGUCCUGGCAGUAAACGGUGCAUAUUUGGUGUGGGCGCAAUCGACCGCGUCCGCGCCGGAGCUAACGCGUUAAAUAUGCCGCCUGGGAAGUACGGUCGCAAGAUUA